This 354-nucleotide ribosomal RNA is filed under the name Theileria equi. RNAcentral's name for it is "SSU rRNA". It matches the Rfam family "Eukaryotic small subunit ribosomal RNA", at positions 526 to 914 of the family's 1831-position model. Lineage: Eukaryota; Apicomplexa; Aconoidasida; Piroplasmida; Theileriidae. The record is from RNAcentral.
UAAACCCCUUCCAGAGUAUCAAUUGGAGGGCAAGUCUGGUGCCAGCAGCCGCGGUAAUUCCAGCUCCAAUAGCGUAUAUUAAACUUGUUGCAGUUAAAAAGCUCGUAGUUGAAUUUCUGCUGUUUCGUUGACUGCGCUUGGCGUUUGUCAUCGUUGCGGCUUGGUUGGGUUUCGAUUAUUCGUUUCCCGGCGUUUACUUUGAGAAAAUUAGAGUGCUUGAAGCAGGCUUUUGCCUUGAAUACUUUAGCAUGGAAUAACGGAGUAGGACUUUGGUUCUAUUUUGUUGGUUUUAGGAGCCAGAGUAAUGGUUAAUAGGAACAGUUGGGGGCAUUCGUAUUUGACUGUCAGAGGUGA